GCUCAGUAUGGAGAUCAUAUCUGGUAUGAGACCAAUGCAUCUGGAGACUACUGUUAUGUGGGGGAACAACACUGUAUAGCCAGAGCACUGCAAAAGUCUGUGAGUCGCAGGAAGUGUGCAGCGUGUAAGAUCGUGGCCCACACCAUCUGUGUGGAACAACUGGAGAAGUUCCCCACAUCUAGAGCCAUUCUGUUGGAUGCCACCCUGCCCCUCAAUGACCCAG
This is a long non-coding RNA of Notothenia coriiceps (black rockcod), 223 nucleotides long. RefSeq lists it as uncharacterized. The record is from RefSeq and is a predicted model, not a curated record. Lineage: Eukaryota; Metazoa; Chordata; Actinopteri; Perciformes; Nototheniidae. The transcript is spliced from 3 exons.